CACUCCGUCCGUAAGGACAGGGUAUGACGGAGCGGCGAACGGGUGAGUAACACGUGAGCAACCUGCCCCACAGAUCGGGAUAGCCCAGGGAAACCUGGAUUAAUACCGAAUAUUCUCAUUGGACCACAUGGUCCGUUGAGGAAAUGCCUUUGUGCUGUGGGAUGGGCUCGCGACUUAUCAGUUAGUUGGUGGGGUAACGGCCUACCAAGACAAUGACGAGUAGCUGGUCUGAGAGGACGAUCAGCCACACUGGAACUGAGACACGGUCCAGACUCCUACGGGAGGCAGCAGCAGGGAAUCUUGCGCAAUGGACGAAAGUCUGACGCAGCGACACCGCGUGGGGGAUGAAGGCCUUCGGGUUGUAAACCCCUUUUAGGAGGGAAGAAAUUGACGGUACCUCCAGAAAAAGGACCGGCCAACUACGUGCCAGCAGCCGCGGUAAUACGUAGGGUCCGAGCGUUAUCCGGAAUCAUUGGGCGUAAAGAGCUCGUAGGCGGUUCAGCAAGUCGGCUGUGAAAGUUCGAGGCUCAACCUCGAAAUUGCAGUCGAUACUGCUGUGACUUGAAUUCGGUAGAGGAGAAUGGAAUUCCCGGUGUAGCGGUGAAAUGCGCAGAUAUCGGGAGGAACACCAGUAGCGAAGGCGGUUCUCUGGGCCGAUAUUGACGCUGAGGAGCGAAAGCGUGGGGAGCAAACAGGAUUAGAUACCCUGGUAGUCCACGCCGUAAACGUUGGAUGCUAGGUGUGGCGGUCUACCCACGACUGCCGUGCCGAAGCUAACGCAUUAAGCAUCCCGCCUGGGG
RNAcentral lists this ribosomal RNA (800 nucleotides) under uncultured bacterium. RNAcentral's name for it is "bacterial SSU rRNA". It matches the Rfam family "Bacterial small subunit ribosomal RNA", at positions 69 to 878 of the family's 1533-position model. The record is from RNAcentral.